RNAcentral lists this ribosomal RNA (198 nucleotides) under uncultured bacterium. Its description in RNAcentral is "partial 16S ribosomal RNA". It matches the Rfam family "Bacterial small subunit ribosomal RNA", at positions 328 to 539 of the family's 1533-position model. The record is from RNAcentral.
ACGCUCGACACCUACGGGAGGCAGCAGUGGGGAAUAUUGCACAAUGGGGGAAACCCUGAUGCAGCGACGCCGCGUGAGCGAAGAAGUAUUUCGGUAUGUAAAGCUCUAUCAGCAGGGAAGAAACUGACGGUACCUGACUAAGAAGCACCGGCUAAAUACGUGCGAGCAGCCGCGGUAAUCUGAGCGGGCUGGCAAGGC